GAAAUGCAGAGAUAUUUCCCUAUUAAUCCAAAACCACAGCUGGGUUUGUCUCUCUCAGUGACGCAAAAGACAGCUGUCUCAAGAGACAGAGAAGGGAACAAAUGCUGCUGCCCCACUGCCCCACUGCCUCAGCAAACAACCCUUUGCAUUUUCAAUGCAAAUGGAAUUCUGAGUUCCAGAUCCAGCAUGCUGAGCAAUAAGCUCACAAAAGCUCAAGCAGUGCUGUACAGCCUGCAGCAAAGCUUCAUGACAAGGAGAUGCAAUACGCAGUCAUGGGGCAAGUGGAGCAGUGUGGCCUGGGCCUAAAUAAUUCAGUGCUCCAGUUUGUCGUGGGGCGUUUUCAUGGGAUUGUGGACGAGUACGAAAAGAGGUCUCCACAUCAAACUCUUUUACUGGGAGUAAGCCUGUGCUUCUCUCUGCCUGCGAGCGCCGGAGCUGCGCUGCUCAGGACAGAGACACCCGGCAGCCAGCAGCCAUCGCUGUUUAAAGACUGACGAAUGUUCACAGAUGACUCAUGGGAUCUCUCCAGCGAGGAGGAGUGCACACUGUUCACAUCGCAGCGUCGUGAACCUGGCCUGAUCUUUUUCUUACUCAUUUAGUCGGCUGAUGCUUUUAUCCCAAGCCACUUCCAUUUGCACCCAUUUAUACUGCUGGGUACUUUACUGGAGCAGUUCUGGCGAAGUGCUUCUCUCUAGGGCACAGACCCACUACCUUCCAGUUACCAGUCCAGAGCCUACACUGCUGCCUGCUCAGAUCCCAUUGUCUCAGUCAGAUAGCGGAGAGUCUUGAAGAGGAAUGGCUCAGCUGCAACUUCCCCAGUCCAGACAGGGACCGCUGCAUGUUUUCCCACCCUGCCUCACCAGAAUGCAAAAGCUGAGACACGCCCCCCUCUCCACCCAUUAGCAACAGCAGGGUCUCACCUGGGAUUUGAACCCACAGAUCCCAGUGUUAGUUAUGAGUCCAGAAUCCUGACCACUGAACCACUGCCCUACAGAUCAAAGCAGGGCGUGUGCCAGGACCAUGUCUGUCUGAGUUGUUGGCGCAAGUCAACCCUGGUGACUGGGGGGUAUUGCAGCCUUAUGGCCUUGAAUCAAGGGUGCACUGACACUCCCUUCACUCACCAGAAUGCAAAGACUCUGACACACCCCCACCAUCCUCUGCCCCGCUGGCAGAUGGGACAGAGAGAAAGCCAGAAGCAAAAUACUAGAAUACCAGCGCUGCUACUCACACAGUUUCCACUGGAACUGCUGUGUCAGUGGGAAUUGGGGAUUUUCUUCUUCAAUAAAAAAAAACAUUUUCUUAAUAUAACAAGGUCCAAAAAAAUGUAUAAAUGGAAUUGGAUGACAGAAAUGUGAACUGGCACACUGACAGACGCGAUUUCAGAGUUGUGCUUCACAACUGCAUUGUUCUGCUUAAUGGGAAAAUAGAAAAGCCAGUCAAAGGCAAGUCCAGACUUGGCUGAAAAGUUUCUUUAUUAGGCCCAGUAUGGUUUCAAAUCCUGGAUUUUUAACUGAAAGGCUGCAGAAUCGUGUGGCAGUUUUCCCCGGAAUGUGCUUUAAUAUGCUUAAUCACCCACUUAAUCAAGGGUAUGACUGACUAAGCUCCUCUUUAUUCGAGGCUCCUGCAUGUGAGGGGGUUGGGACUGAAGUCCAGCUCUCAGGCUGAAGAGAGGCAAUAGAGUUCACACCCGCCCCUCGGUGCUCCUGGGUCGCUCGAGAGCUGGCUUGAGGGGUUUGUGCUGUGCUCAGUGAAAACAUUAGGGUGCCUCAUAUGUAAUUGGUGUUGUCACAGCAAAAGGGGUUCAUGCAAAUGUUUUUUAACCCCUGUUUAAUCUGGAUGCAUGCUCAGCAGGAUUAGGUGGAUUUCCCAUCUGUGGCCAGAAGGCACAGGCUAUCCUGAAGGGUGAGGAAGGAGAGGACGGGAGCUCGCACGGCUCUGCACCUGUCCCAUGGCAGAUGGGACGCAGGCCACAGCGUCACCUGGCCCACCAUGACGUCAGUGCUGCUGCCAAAUCCUAAUGCCGUCCAUAAACGCUGCACUUUGGAUUAAUGAGAUAUUGCGUCCCUAUUACCUGUCACUUCUCAAAGCUAGCAGGUCUGUGGGUGUGUUACGAUAAAGGGACCAUUAAGAAAAGUGUUAGAAAAUCAGCUCUGCCAGUUCUGGGCUCACACCUGGUCUCAGCC
Molecule: non-coding RNA, 2183 nt
Organism: Lepisosteus oculatus (spotted gar)
Lineage: Eukaryota; Metazoa; Chordata; Actinopteri; Semionotiformes; Lepisosteidae
Source: RefSeq, a predicted model, not a curated record